CUCCUACGGGAGACAGCAGUAAGGAAUAUUGGUCAAUGGACGAAAGUCUGAACCAGCCAUGCCGCGUGCAGGAUGACUGCCCUAUGGGUUGUAAACUGCUUUUGUACGGGAAAAAAAUCUUGUUUUCGCAACGAGACUGAUGGUACCGUAAGAAUAAGGAUCGGCUAACUCCGUGCCAGCCGCCGCGGUAAUAC
Molecule: ribosomal RNA, 194 nt
Filed under: uncultured bacterium
Lineage: Bacteria
Description: partial 16S ribosomal RNA
Rfam family: Bacterial small subunit ribosomal RNA
Source: RNAcentral